CCUACGGGAGGCAGCAGUGGGGAAUAUUGGGCAAUGGAGGCAACUCUUACCCAGCAAUGCCGCGUGAAUGAAGAAGGUCUUCUGAUUUUAAAGUUCUUGAAUUCGGGACGAAAAAUAUGACGGUACCCAAGGAAUAAGCCCCCUCUAACUACGUGCCAGCAGCCUUGGUUAUACGUAGGGGGCACGAGUUGUGCGGAAUGACGGGGCGUAAAGGGUGUGUAGGCGGUGUAGCAAGUUAGAAGUGAAAUACCUAGAGCGUAAGUCAGGUGCUGCAUCUAAAACUGCUAUACUUGAGUGCAGUAGAGGAAAGUGGAAUUCCUAGUGUAGCGGUGGAAUGCGUAGAUAUUAGGAGGAACAUCAGUGGCGAAGGCGACUUUCUGGACUGUAACUGACGCUGAGGCACGAAAGUGUGGGGAGCAAACAGGAUUAGAUACCCCUGUAGUC
RNAcentral lists this ribosomal RNA (444 nucleotides) under uncultured bacterium. RNAcentral describes it as "partial 16S ribosomal RNA". It matches the Rfam family "Bacterial small subunit ribosomal RNA", at positions 338 to 795 of the family's 1533-position model. The record is from RNAcentral.